This 1793-nucleotide ribosomal RNA is filed under the name Vibrio cholerae. RNAcentral describes it as "partial 23S ribosomal RNA". It matches the Rfam family "Bacterial large subunit ribosomal RNA", at positions 345 to 2135 of the family's 2925-position model. The record is from RNAcentral. Lineage: Bacteria; Pseudomonadati; Pseudomonadota; Gammaproteobacteria; Vibrionales; Vibrionaceae.
GAAAGCUUGGCGAUACAGGGUGAUAGCCCCGUAACCGACGCUUCAUCGAGCGUGAAAUCGAGUAGGGCGGGACACGUGAUAUCCUGUCUGAAUAUGGGGGGACCAUCCUCCAAGGCUAAAUACUCCUGACUGACCGAUAGUGAACCAGUACCGUGAGGGAAAGGCGAAAAGAACCCCUGUGAGGGGAGUGAAAUAGAACCUGAAACCGUGUACGUACAAGCAGUAGGAGCACCUUCGUGGUGUGACUGCGUACCUUUUGUAUAAUGGGUCAGCGACUUAUAUUCAGUGGCAAGGUUAACCGUAUAGGGGAGCCGUAGCGAAAGCGAGUCUUAACUGGGCGCUCAGUCUCUGGAUAUAGACCCGAAACCGGGUGAUCUAGCCAUGGGCAGGUUGAAGGUUGAGUAACAUCAACUGGAGGACCGAACCGACUAAUGUUGAAAAAUUAGCGGAUGACUUGUGGCUAGGGGUGAAAGGCCAAUCAAACUCGGAGAUAGCUGGUUCUCCCCGAAAGCUAUUUAGGUAGCGCCUCGGACGAAUACUACUGGGGGUAGAGCACUGUUAAGGCUAGGGGGUCAUCCCGACUUACCAACCCUUUGCAAACUCCGAAUACCAGUAAGUACUAUCCGGGAGACACACGGCGGGUGCUAACGUCCGUCGUGGAGAGGGAAACAACCCAGACCGCCAGCUAAGGUCCCAAAGUAUUGCUAAGUGGGAAACGAUGUGGGAAGGCUCAGACAGCUAGGAUGUUGGCUUAGAAGCAGCCAUCAUUUAAAGAAAGCGUAAUAGCUCACUAGUCGAGUCGGCCUGCGCGGAAGAUGUAACGGGGCUAAGCAAUACACCGAAGCUGCGGCAAUAUCUUUUAGAUAUUGGGUAGGGGAGCGUUCUGUAAGCCGUUGAAGGUGAAUCGUAAGGUUUGCUGGAGGUAUCAGAAGUGCGAAUGCUGACAUGAGUAACGACAAAGGGGGUGAAAAACCUCCUCGCCGGAAGACCAAGGGUUCCUGUCCAACGUUAAUCGGGGCAGGGUGAGUCGACCCCUAAGGUGAGGCCGAAAGGCGUAAUCGAUGGGAAACGGGUUAAUAUUCCCGUACUUCUGACUAUUGCGAUGGGGGGACGGAGAAGGCUAGGUGGGCCAGGCGACGGUUGUCCUGGUUCAAGUGCGUAGGCUUGAGAGUUAGGUAAAUCCGGCUCUCUCUAAGGCUGAGACACGACGUCGAGCUGCUACGGCAGUGAAGUCAUUGAUGCCAUGCUUCCAGGAAAAGCCUCUAAGCUUCAGAUAGUCAGGAAUCGUACCCCAAACCGACACAGGUGGUCGGGUAGAGAAUACCAAGGCGCUUGAGAGAACUCGGGUGAAGGAACUAGGCAAAAUGGUACCGUAACUUCGGGAGAAGGUACGCUCUUGAUGGUGAAGUCCCUCGCGGAUGGAGCUGACGAGAGUCGCAGAUACCAGGUGGCUGCAACUGUUUAUUAAAAACACAGCACUGUGCAAAAUCGCAAGAUGACGUAUACGGUGUGACGCCUGCCCGGUGCCGGAAGGUUAAUUGAUGGGGUUAGCGCAAGCGAAGCUCUUGAUCGAAGCCCCGGUAAACGGCGGCCGUAACUAUAACGGUCCUAAGGUAGCGAAAUUCCUUGUCGGGUAAGUUCCGACCUGCACGAAUGGCGUAAUGAUGGCCACGCUGUCUCCACCCGAGACUCAGUGAAAUUGAAAUCGCUGUGAAGAUGCAGUGUACCCGCGGCUAGACGGAAAGACCCCGUGAACCUUUACUACAGCUUGGCACUGAACAUUGAACCUACAU